AGAAACUUAGGAUAAUGUAGACCAAAAACCUUCAAAGUUUUAAGCAUGAGUUAAAAUCUCUUAGUUUCUG
Molecule: transfer RNA, 70 nt
Filed under: Limnonectes fujianensis (Fujian large-headed frog)
Lineage: Eukaryota; Metazoa; Chordata; Amphibia; Anura; Dicroglossidae
Description: tRNA-Trp
Rfam family: tRNA
About the family: Transfer RNA (tRNA) molecules are approximately 80 nucleotides in length.
Source: RNAcentral